This 468-nucleotide ribosomal RNA is filed under the name uncultured bacterium. RNAcentral describes it as "partial 16S ribosomal RNA". It matches the Rfam family "Bacterial small subunit ribosomal RNA", at positions 28 to 507 of the family's 1533-position model. The record is from RNAcentral.
GACGAACGCUGGCGGCGUGCUUAACACAUGCAAGUCGAACGGAAAGGCCCUGCUUUUGUGGGGUGCUCGAGUGGCGAACGGGUGAGUAACACGUGAGUAACCUGCCCUUGACUUUGGGAUAACUUCAGGAAACUGGGGCUAAUACCGGAUAGGAGCUCCUGCUGCAUGGUGGGGGUUGGAAAGUUUCGGCGGUUGGGGAUGGACUCGCGGCGUAUCAGCUUGUUGGUGGGGUAGUGGCUUACCAAGGCCUUGACGGGUAGCCGGCCUGCGAGGGUGACCGGCCACAUUGGGACUGAGCUACGGCCCAGCCUCCUACGGGCGGCAGCAGUGAGGACUAUUCCACAAUGGGCGGAGGCCUGAUGCAGCAACGCCGCCUGCGGGAUGACGGCCUUCGGGUUGUAACCCGCUUUCGCCUCUGACGAAGCGUGAGUGACGGUACUGGGUAGAGAAGCACCGGCUAACUACGUG